UUAAUGAGUGUGGGUAUGUGUAACACUGUGUGUAUAUUAUACACACAGUGUUACACAUACCCGCACUCAUUAAAU
Pelobates cultripes (western spadefoot toad) is the source of this 75-nucleotide non-coding RNA. The record is from the annotation of a GenBank genome assembly. NCBI's taxonomy places the organism in Eukaryota, Metazoa, Chordata, Amphibia, Anura, Pelobatidae.